GCGGGAGUAACUAUGACUCU
This 20-nucleotide non-coding RNA is filed under the name Arabidopsis thaliana (thale cress). The record is from RNAcentral. Lineage: Eukaryota; Viridiplantae; Streptophyta; Magnoliopsida; Brassicales; Brassicaceae. RNAcentral also lists the same sequence under 1 other name.